GCCGGGUGCUGUGGCGCACACCUGUAAUCCCAGCAGCUCCGGAGGCUGAGACAGGAUAAUUGCAAGUUCUAAGCCAGUCUCAGCAACCAUGAGGCACUAAGCAAUUCAGUGAGACUCUAUCUCUA
RNAcentral lists this small RNA (125 nucleotides) under Marmota monax (woodchuck). Lineage: Eukaryota; Metazoa; Chordata; Mammalia; Rodentia; Sciuridae. The record is from RNAcentral.